RNAcentral lists this microRNA precursor (149 nucleotides) under Mustela putorius furo (domestic ferret). RNAcentral describes it as "miRNA (ENSMPUG00000021385.1)". The stretch from base 44 to 95 matches the Rfam family "mir-1302 microRNA precursor family". Lineage: Eukaryota; Metazoa; Chordata; Mammalia; Carnivora; Mustelidae. The record is from RNAcentral.
CAGGACGCCCAGCUGAAUCUGAAUUUCAAAUGAACCAUGAAUUUUUUAAGUAUAAGUAUGUCCCAUGUAAUGUUUGGGACAUACUUGUACUAAAAAAAAUGUUUCCCUGUCCAUUUGAGAUUUUACAAUUUAACAAGGCAUCUUGUAUU